Pangasius djambal is the source of this 72-nucleotide non-coding RNA. The record is from the annotation of a GenBank genome assembly. Lineage: Eukaryota; Metazoa; Chordata; Actinopteri; Siluriformes; Pangasiidae.
UCCCUGGAUAACUAGUGGUUAGGCCUUGGUGUUCUCACCAUCGAGACCCGGGUUCGAUUCCUGGCCAGGGAA